This 155-nucleotide unclassified non-coding RNA is filed under the name uncultured Verrucariaceae. RNAcentral describes it as "sequence contains ITS2". The record is from RNAcentral. Lineage: Eukaryota; Fungi; Ascomycota; Eurotiomycetes; Verrucariales.
UCAACCCUCAAGCCCGGCUUGCUGUUGGGUCGCACCGUUAAACCAACGGUGGAUCCCAAAGAUAAUGGCAGAGUCUGUGAGACCCUGGAUGCAGCGAGCUUUGUAGCACGCGUCGGGCGGUUUCCAGGCUCGGUCUUAACCAAUAUAUUUCUUCU